RNAcentral lists this ribosomal RNA (425 nucleotides) under uncultured bacterium. RNAcentral describes it as "partial 16S ribosomal RNA". It matches the Rfam family "Bacterial small subunit ribosomal RNA", at positions 354 to 796 of the family's 1533-position model. The record is from RNAcentral.
GUGGGGAAUCUUGCGCAAUGGGCGAAAGCCUGACGCAGCCAUGCCGCGUGAAUGAUGAAGGUCUUAGGAUUGUAAAAUUCUUUCACCGGGGACGAUAAUGACGGUACCCGGAGAAGAAGCCCCGGCUAACUUCGUGCCAGCAGCCGCGGUAAUACGACGGGGGCUAGCGUUGCUCGGAAUUACUGGGCGUAAAGGGCGCGUAGGCGGACAGUUUAGUCAGAGGUGAAAGCCCAGGGCUCAACCUUGGAAUUGCCUUUGAUACUGGCUGUCUUGAGUACGGGAGAGGUGAGUGGAACUCCGGGUGUAGAGGUGAGAUUCGUAGAUAUUCGGAAAAACACCAGGGGCGAAGGCGACUCACUGGCCCGUUACUGACGCUGAGGCGCGAAAGCGUGGGGAGCAAACAGGAUUAGAAACCCUGGUAGUCC